GAUGAACGCUAGCUACAGGCUUAACACAUGCAAGUCGCGGGGCGGCAUGGGGGUUGCUUGCAAUCCCCGAUGGCGACCGGCGCACGGGUGAGUAACGCGUAUCCAACCUGCCCUUCACCACGGGAUAACCCGGCGAAAGUCGGACUAAUACCGUAUGUUGUCCAUUGACGGCAUCCGAUUUGGACGAAAGGUUUGGCGGUGAAGGAUGGGGAUGCGUCCGAUUAGCUGGACGGCGGGGUGACGGCCCACCGUGGCGACGAUCGGUAGGGGUUCUGAGAGGAAGGUCCCCCACACUGGAACUGAGACACGGUCCAGACUCCUACGGGAGGCAGCAGUGAGGAAGAUUGGUCAAGGGGCGUAAGCCUGAACCAGCCAAGUAGCGUGCAGGAUGACGGCCCUAUGGGUGGUAAACUGCUUUUAUGCGGGGAUAAAGUGGCCCACGUGUGGGUUUUUGCAGGUACCGCAUGAAUAAGGACCGGCUAAUUCCGUG
RNAcentral lists this ribosomal RNA (490 nucleotides) under uncultured bacterium. Its description in RNAcentral is "partial 16S ribosomal RNA". It matches the Rfam family "Bacterial small subunit ribosomal RNA", at positions 28 to 507 of the family's 1533-position model. The record is from RNAcentral.